This 452-nucleotide ribosomal RNA is filed under the name uncultured organism. RNAcentral describes it as "bacterial SSU rRNA". It matches the Rfam family "Bacterial small subunit ribosomal RNA", at positions 346 to 790 of the family's 1533-position model. The record is from RNAcentral.
GUGCAGCAGUCGAGAAUUUUUCUCAAUGGGGGCAACCCUGAAGGAGCGACGCCGCGUGGAGGAUGAAGGCUUUCGGGUCGUAAACUCCUGUCAUUUGAGAACAAGUGCCAACAAGUAACUACUGUUGGCUUGAUAGUAUCAGAAGAGGAAGGGACGGCUAACUCUGUGCCAGCAGCCGCGGUAAUACAGAGGUCCCAAGCGUUGUUCGGAUUCAUUGGGCGUAAAGGGUGCGUAGGUGGCGCCGUCAGUGGGGUGUGAAAUUCCGGAGCUUAACUCCGAAACUGCAUUCCAUACUGCGGUGCUUGAGGACUGGAGAGGAGACUGGAAUUCAUGGUGUAGCAGUGAAAUGCGUAGAGAUCAUGAGGAAGACCAGUGGCGAAAGGCGGGUCUCUGGACAGUUCCUGACACUGAGGCACGAAGGCUAGGGGAGCGAACGGGAUUAGAUAACCCCU